GACGAACGCUGGCGGCGUGCUUAACACAUGCAAGUCGAACGGUGAAGCUCCAGCUUGCUGGAGUGGAUCAGUGGCGAACGGGUGAGUAACACGUGAGCAACCUGCCCCUGACUCUGGAAUAAGCGCUGGAAACGGCGUCUAAUACUGGAUACGAGAAGGGUCCGCAUGGGCACUUUCUGGAAAGUUUUUCGGUUGGGGAUGGGCUCGCGGCCUAUCAGCUUGUUGGUGAGGUAAUGGCUCACCAAGGCGACGACGGGUAGCCGGCCUGAAAGGGCGACCGGCCACACUGGGACUGAGACACGGCCCAGACUCCUACGGGAGGCAGCAGUGGGGAAUAUUGCACAAUGGGCGAAAGCCUGAUGCAGCGACGCCGCGUGAGGGAUGACGGCCUUCGGGUUGUAAACCUCUUUCAGCAGGGAAGAAGCGAAAGUGACGGUACCUGCAGAAGAAGCACCGGCUAACUACGUG
Molecule: ribosomal RNA, 468 nt
Filed under: uncultured bacterium
Lineage: Bacteria
Description: partial 16S ribosomal RNA
Rfam family: Bacterial small subunit ribosomal RNA
Source: RNAcentral